UACGGAGGAUCCAAGCGUUAUCCGGAAUCAUUGGGUUUAAAGGGUCCGUAGGUGGUCCAUUAAGUCAGAGGUGAAAUCCUAUCGCUCAACGAUAGAACUGCCUUUGAAACUGAUAGACUUGAGUUAUUGUGAAGUAGUUAGAAUAUGUAGUGUAGCGGUGAAAUGCAUAGAUAUUACAUAGAAUACCGAUUGCGAAGGCAGAUUACUAACAAUAUACUGACACUGAGGGACGAAAGCGU
Molecule: ribosomal RNA, 239 nt
Filed under: uncultured bacterium
Lineage: Bacteria
Description: partial 16S ribosomal RNA
Rfam family: Bacterial small subunit ribosomal RNA
Source: RNAcentral